GUUACUUGCUUGUAGUCAAACAGAAGGCAGAGCUGCGAAUCAAAUCCAGGUUUGUCUCGACAUGCCACUAGCUCAUACUUCCCUUGGAUCAGCCACUAAAUGGCUUUCACUCCAGUGAGCAGCGACCAGCACUCCUGGGGACAUCAGGGCACUCACGCUCCUUAACACUGGACAGGAGACCUGCGCAGUCAUUCUAGCACCAGAAUUAUGGAACAUUUAUCAACAGCCUAAAAUAAAGACAACACGAGGAGAAUUUGGUUGCUUAUAUAGAUUCAAGGUACAAUCCUGCUGGAUUCUGGGAUUACAGGACUGUAGACAAAAGAGAAAUCAUCAUGGACUGUUCACUGGACAAAAUUUCAUGGAGAGGAGAAGACCUUUGGCGGUUCAUGGAUGUUCUAUAAUAAGUUAGAAGAAAUAUCACAGUGUGCAUGCACAGAAGUACGACCAUGUGAAGAGGUAGCAAGAGAGCAGCAAUCUACAAGCCAAGGAAAGAGGCCACAGAGGAAACCAACCCUGCCAGCAUCUUGAUCUUGGACUUCCAGCUUCCAGAACUAACCAGGGACCCCACUCCCAUGCCGACAGUAUGGGCUGCUGUCUUCAGGACCAUUGCAAGUGUCCUUCACGGUUCGGUUCACAUUUCACAAGCCCCAUGAAGUCUAUCUGGAUUUUCGAUGGAUGUCUUGCCUUUUCCUCUACACACUACAGGAAGAGUGGCCACCCCUGCCAAGGGCCUAGUAUAGUACCCUAUACAUGUAGCUGAUCAGUUGAUUGUUACUGAUCAUAUGUAUCCUGCAUCAUGUUAUAAAAAAUUAACACAGUGCUUGGC
RNAcentral lists this long non-coding RNA (826 nucleotides) under Homo sapiens (human). RNAcentral describes it as "long intergenic non-protein coding RNA 1359". Lineage: Eukaryota; Metazoa; Chordata; Mammalia; Primates; Hominidae. The record is from RNAcentral.